Molecule: ribosomal RNA, 253 nt
Filed under: uncultured bacterium
Lineage: Bacteria
Description: partial 16S ribosomal RNA
Rfam family: Bacterial small subunit ribosomal RNA
Source: RNAcentral
UACGUAGGGGGCAAGCGUUGUCCGGAUUUAUUGGGCGUAAAGAGCGUGUAGGCGGCCAUACAGGUCAGCUGUGAAAACUCGAGGCUCAACCUCGAGACGUCGGUUGAAACCGUAUGGCUAGAGUCCGGAAGAGAAGACUGGAAUUCCUGGUGUAGCGGUGAAAUGCGCAGAUAUCAGGAGGAACACCGGUGGCGAAGGCGGGUCUCUGGGCCGAUAUUGACGUUGAGGAGCGAAAGCGUGGGGAGCGAACAGG